RNAcentral lists this ribosomal RNA (259 nucleotides) under uncultured bacterium. RNAcentral describes it as "partial 16S ribosomal RNA". It matches the Rfam family "Bacterial small subunit ribosomal RNA", at positions 92 to 353 of the family's 1533-position model. The record is from RNAcentral.
CGAGUGGCGGACGGGUGAGUAAUGUCUGGGAAACUGCCUGAUGGAGGGGGAUAACUACUGGAAACGGUAGCUAAUACCGCAUAACGUCGCAAGACCAAAGAGGGGGACCCUCGGGCCUCUUGCCAUCGGAUGUGCCCAGAUGGGAUUAGCUUGUUGGUGGGGUAACGGCUCACCAGGCGACGAUCCCUAGCUGGUCUGAGAGGAUGACCAGCCACACUGGAACUGAGACACGGUCCAGACUCCUACGGGAGGCAGCAUG